AGUGAACGCUGGCGGCGUGCCUAAUACAUGCAAGUCGAACGGAAUUUAAGAGAGCUUGCUCUUUUAAAUUUAGUGGCGCACGGGUGAGUAAUAUAUAGCUAAUCUGCCCCUUGCCGGAGGACAACAGUUAGAAAUGACUGCUAAUACUCCAUACUCCUUUUUACCAUAAGAUAAAUCGGGAAAGAAUUUCGGCAAGGGAUGAGACUAUAUCGUAUCAGCUAGUCGGUGGGGUAACGGCCUACCGAGGCUAUGACGCGUAACUGGUCUGAGAGGAUGAUCAGUCACAUUGGAACUGAGACACGGUCCAAACUCCUACGGGAGGCAGCAGUAGGGAAUAUUGCGCAAUGGGGGAAACCCUGACGCAGCAACGCCGCGUGGAGGAUGACACUUUUCGGAGCGUAAACUCCUUUUGUUAGGGAAGAAUAAUGACGUACCUAACGAAUAAGCACC
RNAcentral lists this ribosomal RNA (450 nucleotides) under Campylobacter gracilis. RNAcentral describes it as "bacterial SSU rRNA". It matches the Rfam family "Bacterial small subunit ribosomal RNA", at positions 29 to 494 of the family's 1533-position model. The record is from RNAcentral. Lineage: Bacteria; Pseudomonadati; Campylobacterota; Epsilonproteobacteria; Campylobacterales; Campylobacteraceae.